This is a non-coding RNA of Xylaria palmicola, 116 nucleotides long. The record is from the annotation of a GenBank genome assembly. NCBI's taxonomy places the organism in Eukaryota, Fungi, Ascomycota, Sordariomycetes, Xylariales, Xylariaceae.
GGCUCUUUGGUCUAGAGGUAUGAUUCUCGCUUUGGGCGCCCCGUGCAUCUCACGAUGCUCGAAGCAUUCCCAUGCUCGUUUGCGAGAGGCCCCGGGUUCGAAUCCCGGAAGAGCCC